AGAGUUUGAUCAUGGCUCAGAACGUACGCUGGCGGCACGCCUAACACAUGCAAGUCGAACGAAGUAGCAAUACUUAGUGGCAGACGGGUGAGUAACAUGUAGGUAUCUGCCCUUUGGCCUGGAAUAACACGAGGAAACUUGUGCUAAUACCGGAUAAGUCUUUACGGAGAAAGCUUUAUGCACCAUUGGAUGAGCCUGCACUUGAUUAGUUUGUUGGUGGGGUAAUGGCCUACCAAGACUGUGAUCAAUAGCUGAUUUGAGAGGAUGAUCAGCCACAUUGGGACUGAGACACGGCCCAAACUCCUACGGGAGGCAGCAGUGGGGAAUCUUGCACAAUGGAGGAAACUCUGAUGCAGCGAUGCCGCGUGAGUGAAGAAGGCCUUUGGGUUGUAAAGCUUUUUCGUCGGGGAAGAAAAUGACUGUACCCGAAUAAGAAGGUCCGGCUAACUUCGUGCCAGCAGCCGCGGUAAUACGAAGGGACCUAGCGUAGUUCGGAAUUACUGGGCUUAAAGAGUUCGUAGGUGGUUGAAAAAGUUGGUGGUGAAAUCCCAGAGCUUAACUCUGGAACUGCCAUCAAAACUUUUCAGCUAGAGUAUGAUAGAGGAAAGCAGAAUUUCUAGUGUAGAGGUGAAAUUCGUAGAUAUUAGAAAGAAUACCAAUUGCGAAGGCAGCUUUCUGGAUCAUUACUGACACUGAGGAACGAAAGCAUGGGUAGCGAAGAGGAUUAGAUACCCUCGUAGUCCAUGCCGUAAACGAUGUGUGUUAGACGUUGGAAAUUUAUUUUCAGUGUCGCAGCGGGAGGCGAUAAACACACCGCCUGGGGAGUACGACCGCAAGGGUUAAAACUCAAAUGAAUUGACGGGGACCCGCACAAGUAGUGGAGC
This 884-nucleotide ribosomal RNA is filed under the name uncultured bacterium. RNAcentral describes it as "bacterial SSU rRNA". It matches the Rfam family "Bacterial small subunit ribosomal RNA", at positions 8 to 938 of the family's 1533-position model. The record is from RNAcentral.